This 303-nucleotide non-coding RNA is filed under the name Shewanella denitrificans OS217. Lineage: Bacteria; Pseudomonadati; Pseudomonadota; Gammaproteobacteria; Alteromonadales; Shewanellaceae. The record is from RNAcentral.
UAGCCCCAAGGAAGACUUAACGUCAGGGGAUGCAAAGGAAGGCCAGUGAAGACAUGAUGUCUCACUUAAGGAUUAAGAUUGUCAUGGAUGAUAUAGGACACGCUUAAGGACAGAGCAGGCUCAGUAAAGGAAUUGCUGAGAUAAAGGACGGUAUCUUAGAUGAUACAGGGAACACAAGGAUGCUAAGGACAGGUGCCAAGGAUGCAAGUUAGACGCAUGGACGGUGCAGGGAGCACAAGAAUAGCAGGAUUGCUUAACAAAGAAUAAGAGGCCACGAAUUAUUUCGUGGCCUUUCUUUUUGGU